Molecule: long non-coding RNA, 431 nt
Filed under: Nicotiana tabacum (common tobacco)
Lineage: Eukaryota; Viridiplantae; Streptophyta; Magnoliopsida; Solanales; Solanaceae
Description: long non-coding RNA (NTAB_LNC003002)
Source: RNAcentral
CAAAGAAAACAAAAUAUAUAAAGAUGAUUAAAAAGAGGGAAAAAAUUCAUAAGCUUAAAGAAAUGGAAGAAAUCAAGGUGAAAGCACUGUUACAAUUGAUCUUGCCUGAAAUUCAGGAGGAAAAAGUCAAAUAAGUGAAAAAUCUUCAAACAUAACCCCUUCUUGACAAUCAAGCAGGACUGCAAUCACAUUAGAAGCUACUCUUGGCAGCAUUGCUCUUAUCAUAUUAAACAUCAUACCUAGAGCUCCAGAAAUGGCCUCCAAUAACGAGGGGAGAAUCUUCUUUUUCCUUGCGUUUUCUCUCCGGCAGCCCAGAAGAAAGCAGCAUAAAGAAUAGCUGCUCUGACCUUCAUGAAGUAAGGAUAGACCUCUGAUGUCGAAAAUGAUACUCUUUAUCUGUUUUCAGUAGUGUCCCCAUAAGUAUAUUGGAG